CGGACGAACGCUGGCGGCGUGCCUAACACAUGCAAGUCGAGCGAAGUUUAGAAGAAGUACUUGUACGGAAUUUAAACUUAGCGGCGGACGGGUGAGUAACACGUGAGCAACCUACCUUUCACUGUGGAAUAACAACGGGAAACCGUUGCUAAUACCGCAUAACAUCUUACCUGGGCAUCCAGGAAAGAUCAAAGAUUUAUCGGUGAAAGAUGGGCUCGCGUCCGAUUAGUUAGUUGGUGGGGUAAUGGCCUACCAAGACCGCGAUCGGUAGCCGAACUGAGAGGUUGAUCGGCCACAUUGGGACUGAGACACGGCCCAGACUCCUACGGGAGGCAGCAGUGGGGAAUAUUGCACAAUGGGGGAAACCCUGAUGCAGCGAUGCCGCGUGGAGGAUGAAGGCCUUCGGGUUAGUAAACUGUCUUUUGUACGGAAACGAAAACGGCCCCUUCAAAUAAAGGGGGCCCAUGACGGUACCGUAAGAAUAAGCACCGGCUAACUACGUG
This 503-nucleotide ribosomal RNA is filed under the name uncultured bacterium. RNAcentral's name for it is "bacterial SSU rRNA". It matches the Rfam family "Bacterial small subunit ribosomal RNA", at positions 27 to 507 of the family's 1533-position model. The record is from RNAcentral.